Ctenopharyngodon idella (grass carp) is the source of this 836-nucleotide long non-coding RNA. RefSeq lists it as uncharacterized. The record is from RefSeq and is a predicted model, not a curated record. NCBI's taxonomy places the organism in Eukaryota, Metazoa, Chordata, Actinopteri, Cypriniformes, Xenocyprididae. The transcript has 2 exons.
UCUCUCCUCAGCGCACACACACCUUUAGCUCCCCACCCCCUUCCUCCCUCCAUUUCGCCCUCCCCCACUCAUUCUUUUCAGACCGAUCUUCUGCUUGCCUCCCCCCACUACACCGAGGGCUGCCUUAUCUGCUGCCUCUCCAUACGCCGCACACAUUCACACAUGUCUAGACUGCACCGGCACAAAAAAACAAGCCACAUUGGGGCUGCCCAACCGGCGCGCAGGAACUGCCCUCCGUGCCAAACUACACGGAUGCACGAGACGCUGAAGCUCAGAUGGGAGGGUUUACAAGGAGUAGACGGAAACGGACACUUGAUGACAGACAGACCAGAGGGAUGAAAUUGUGGAUUCUUAUUGUAACUGAAGAUGACGUCCCUAGCACAUUGCCUAACAUCACAAACUUUGCUACUGAGUUGGAAGGGGUUUUCAAAGAUGCUUCAGACCUGUAGUCUGCAGUUUCUUACCUGUUCGGCCUUCUCUUUGCCUUGAACUUUGAGUGCUUUGAGUUUUUUUUUUUUUUUUCUCUCUUUUCUCUUUUGGUAUUGUUUUAACUGAUUGUUGUAUUUAUUUUAUAGUUAAGGAGUAUGGUUGUGGUGUUUGACAUUGUUCAUAUUUUCAUUUCAAUAUGUAAACAAGAGCUUUUGCUGCUGGUUUCUAUUAAGUUAAACAAAACUUCAAGCCUGCAGUUAUAGCUUCAUUUCAUAACUUUGUUUUAAUGUUAACCUCUUAAACUUCAUCUGGAUGCCAACGCACUGAAGCACUCUUUGUUUAUAUUAGUUUUAGUGUAAAUGACUGUAAUUGCCUCAAACUAUACAUUAAAAAGAUCCAAGACUCAA